UCCCUCUCCUCCUCCAACUGCUCCAAGAAAUCAUAUCCCACUCACCCAAUGCGCACGAUAGCACCUGCCCCCGCUCCCAGCUCCAGAAACUCAAGCCCGACCCCAUCGCAUGGAUCAUGGACUCCCACACACCGGAGUCCCUCUCCACCUUCUUCAACCUCGUCUUCACCAUGCGCCUCUUCUGGCUCUGCGCCUUCCACGCGCCCCCGGAAGCCGGCUCCCUCUACUUCCACUCCCUCCUCACUCCCACCCUCGAAACGGCCUCGUCCAAACUCGCCUCCAUCCUCCGCACCUUCUUCAUCACCGUCGGCGUCGACACCGAACUUUGCUUCAUGCGCACCCUCGGUUACAUCAUAACAAAACUUCACAUGAUAAAAGAACUGAGCACCGGGCUAGGUUUAAAAACGCUUUUGCCUUCUCCCAGAUUCUCCUACGCGACGG
This 441-nucleotide long non-coding RNA is filed under the name Phaseolus vulgaris (common bean). RNAcentral describes it as "long non-coding RNA (PVUL_LNC001990)". The record is from RNAcentral. Lineage: Eukaryota; Viridiplantae; Streptophyta; Magnoliopsida; Fabales; Fabaceae.